Molecule: non-coding RNA, 185 nt
Filed under: Rhodospirillaceae bacterium
Lineage: Bacteria; Pseudomonadati; Pseudomonadota; Alphaproteobacteria; Rhodospirillales; Rhodospirillaceae
Description: 6S RNA
Rfam family: 6S / SsrS RNA
About the family: E. coli 6S RNA was the first non coding RNA to be sequenced, but its function was unknown until recently. It consists of 184 nucleotides that fold into an extended hairpin structure with a large single-stranded internal bulge.
Source: RNAcentral
CGCUUCCUGCAGUGUACGAAGGAUUAAUAAUACACUCUAAUCCUGUUAUUUCAUAUAGGGAGCUAGAUCUGAGAGGUGGAUGCCAUGCCGUAAAUCGGAAGGCAAAUCCCUUUUAGAAGGCACCCACUUUUACCUAAAAGAGGUAAAUAGAGUAACUUAGUUUCUCCGGCGCAGGCGGGAAUUAG